RNAcentral lists this long non-coding RNA (464 nucleotides) under Dromaius novaehollandiae (emu). RNAcentral's name for it is "lncRNA (ENSDNVG00000000613.1)". The record is from RNAcentral. Lineage: Eukaryota; Metazoa; Chordata; Aves; Casuariiformes; Dromaiidae.
UUUUAAUAGGAACUUUUGAUGAGAAACUGGUCAGACAUGCCGAGAGGGGCUGAAAGCCUGUCAAGGUCACUGCCAAGGACAAGGGAGUCAAUUAGUAUGCAGAUCAGAGCCAAGGAGUUCAAAGGCAGUCAGCUCAGUGAAAGUGAGGUCAAUCUGACCACACUCUUCCUAAAGGAUCCUCUUCUGAACCAUCUACUUGAGUACACGUCUCCUGACAAAUCAAUGGCAGAAUUGAGAGUUUGGUCUGAGAAUCGUCAGGAUUGGACCUUAGCACUAGCAACCUCCAGCAGACUGCAGUGGCUUAGCCUUUAAUACACUUCCACCCCUGUGUGUUAUACAACCAUAAUACUGAACACACGAGGCAGACAGGUGCCCUGAGGCAUUCUCCGUAAAAACUUUCAUAUCACAACGGAACUGAACGUACCAUUAUAACACCACGUCUCCUCUUCUUCACGGUAAGAAUU